UGCAGAAAACGACUCUCAUUGUCAAG
RNAcentral lists this unclassified non-coding RNA (26 nucleotides) under Mus musculus (house mouse). RNAcentral's name for it is "oocyte_clustered_small_RNA10590". The record is from RNAcentral. Lineage: Eukaryota; Metazoa; Chordata; Mammalia; Rodentia; Muridae.